Molecule: long non-coding RNA, 5015 nt
Filed under: Malus domestica (apple)
Lineage: Eukaryota; Viridiplantae; Streptophyta; Magnoliopsida; Rosales; Rosaceae
Description: long non-coding RNA (MDOM_LNC013277)
Source: RNAcentral
UUAUGAGCAUGAAUAUUGGAGCUAAAAUUUGGUGCCAUGUUUUUGGGAAUUUUCGGCCAAAUCCAAAGGGUGGAUUUUUUGGGUUCUUGUUUGACUUGUUAAAAGUGUUUUCAAGUGAACUUUUGGAACCCCUAUGUACCCUAGUUUGGUUAUAUGUUAUUUCCCUAAAGUUUGAAUGGUUUUGGGAUGUUUUUGGGUGAAAAAUGUUCAUGGAAAUUUUUGGGUUUUUUCAUGAAUGUUCUUCAUUGUUCUUGACAUUUUUGCCAAGAACAAAAAGUUUUGUGUUUUGAUUUAUUUCAUAAAGUUUAUGUUUUAUGUUUUUCAAAUGAUUUAAUGUGUUAGAUAUUUGUUUAAAUGGUGUAAGAAAUAUUGGUGGAUGUGUAAGGAUUAAUUUCCUUUCACACACACCACUUGCAUGACAUUUAUGUCAUGCACGACUUGCACCACUUGCAUGUUUUAUGUCAAAACUCACAAAUCAACACACACAUCACUCUAAUCCUUCUCCAAAACCGGCCCUCCCUCAAGUGGGAGUACUUUUGGGGCUUUUAUGCAAUUACAUAAAGUUUUGAUACUUUUGUGUAUUUGCACUUUGGCCCAAAAGUUUACGUUUUUACGUUUAGGUCCAAAAACGCUAAAGGACAAAUUGUUUUGCUCCUUUAAUGAAGUUUUUGCAUUAUUAAAAUUUUGGGUUCUAGUUGUAAUUACAUGAAGUAGUGGACUUUUGUGUUUUUACAAAGUGACCCCAAAAGUUUUGCAAUGUAGCCCAAAAGUUGAGGUUAAUUGCUUUAUAGCCCAAAAAGUUGUGGUUAUUGCAUGAUGGCCCAAAUAAGGUUGAGAACAAAAUUGUUUUGUCUCUUUAAAUGAGAAUUGGAUUUUCAUUUCAUUUAGCUCCAUUUAAAUCAAUUUUAUGGAUACAAAAACCAAAUGAAAAUGUUGCAUUCAAUUUAAUUAGUUAAAGUGUUAAUUAAUUAAAGGGUGAUUAUGAACCUAAGCCUAUGAUAAUUGAGCUAUGUGAAAGGCCGUUUCAAAUUUGUUUGAACCAUGGGAAUGUGUAGAUUAGAUUUUGGUUGUAAUUUGAUUUGAUCAAAUGUUGUAAAAGAGCUUAAGCUCUUCUUUACUUUAAAGUAAUUUGUAUUAUGCAAAUGUUGUAAUGAGCAUAAGCUCAUCUUUACUUUGAAGUACUUCUUUCUUGCUUUAUUUGAUAUGCAUGAAAAUGAAGUAGUUGGGUCCAACGCCCCUAAGACAACACGCCUUAAUGUGAUUAAACGCGUAACUAAAAUCAAUCACCAUCCCUAGACCGAGAUUCAACACUAGGCUCGUGUUGAAUCUAAACAAAGGUUCAUAGUCAUCCUAAGGCCCUAAGGCAACUAUAUAGUCCAUCAAAUGAAUGCAAAGUUUAUGUUAGUAGUAUCAUAUACUCUUGCUUUAAAAACCGUUUUAUAAGCAUAGUGGGAGUAUUAUAUACAACUAAAACAAUCCAAUGGACCAAUAGUUGUAAUAGGACCAAAAUUGUUUUAAUAUAGAUUAAAAUGAAUGUUUAUAUGUGAUGAGACCUAAAAACCUUCAACCAAACCAUUAUUAAGUUGAUAAGCGUGAGAGUGCUUUGAACACUCUUUCGUGGCCUUCCACCAUGGUAGCUCCGAUCAUUUGUGACUCGUACACCGGCUUCACCCUAUCAUGGGGGAGUACAAAGUGCGUGCUUACACUAAGGAGGAGUCUAUGUACAUACUUGAUGAGGUGAGUGUAGGCAACGAGGAUGGCCAACAUCAUAUCAUUGUGAGGCUAUUCUUGAACCCCUUCAUGAACUAAGCAUGGUUGGAAUGACUUAACUAAGUGUAAUGGAGCCAAUAUCAUAUCAUUGUGAGGUUACAUUCUCUAGAGGCCAAAUUAGAUGGGUACUUGCAAGAGAUGCAAAUGAGUAAGUGUACUCUCUCAUUAUUAUUAAUGCUAGCCAAUAUCAUAUCAUUGUGAGGUGGGCUUGGUAGUAGUGAGUCUCCCAUACCCUACUAAGAGUUUCCUCCAAAACUCUCGAAUUCCAAUGAGGGAUAUGGAAUUUGCCAAAAAUAGUGGGUGGUGCUAUUUGAUUUAAAGAGCCGAAUCAAAUGGCUUAAAAAUCAAUCAAUUUAUAUUCGUUAUGUAUUUACUUACCAUUAUAUUUGCAAACGCUAUCCCACACUUGACAAAUAAAAGCCGAAAGUUUAGUUUCCGGACUUGGUACAACAAUCCCAAAGAUUGUCUUAAAUGGAUUGUAUAUGUACCUAAGUAGUCUCAUCCUCACAAUCUUCCUAUUGAUAAUGUACCAUUGGAAGAAAAUGUUAGAUAAGUCUAUCAUAAGGAGGACAACACUUUUAAUGUCAUAAUUCUUCAAUUACAAUUUGUUGUAUGAAGAAAUAAGAGUUGCUUUGAACAACCCUUAAUCAAUGCAAACAUUAGUGCUUGUUUCUUUGUUACAUGAACAAGGAACUUUAGAAGAAAGCACAAAGGCAUGGACACUUAAUGUGCCAUGAUUCUUCACUUGCAAAUUGUUGUAUGAAGAAAUGAGAGUUGCCUUGAACAACUCUUGAAAGUUUGUAAUUAUGUUUAGAACAUAAUGGUUGGUUGACAAAAAUAGUCCAUUAACAUGAACUUAUGAUGAUUUUGAAUCAUUGAGUGUUGAAGUGAUAAACCACUUAACGAGACGAAAACUAGGCAAGGACUUCACCUUUGUGUCCCUAUCCUAAUGGUUCACUAAGUUUAUUGUAAACUAUAUGGUGAACAAUAACCACACACUCUCCAAAAUGUUUGAUGUGUAUAACACAAUUAAAGUAAGUUUCAAGAGAGAUAGUGGGAGUUUAGGGACCCUGACUAUUGUAGUCAAAGGAGAAGUCAAAUGAAGAAGAUAAAAUUAACUCCAAGGGAACAAACUUUCUUUAUGAAAGGAUGGACAUUGGAAGGGGUAUUUGCAAGAAAUGUCUUGCAAGUGUCAAGAACACACCUUUCGAAGGUGUUGUAAAUUGUUCUUGAAUAGUUCAAAACAGUUGAAUGCUUGAUUCCGUAUUAGUAACUAUGUUUUACAAUCGUUGUAAAAGUGUGACUAAUAAGAAGUAGAAGAUAUAUGAGAGAAGAAAAGGUACUUCACAUUCGGAACGUGAAUAAAAUAAAGAUCUCUACGAAAGCAGAUAGUACUUACUUCCUCAUAUGAACUACCAAAGAAAUUGGAAAAACCAAAGAUUGUCUUUACAUUCCAAUUUUAAGGAAUUUAAUUCCGUCACUAUAGUAGAGAUGGAUGAAUGUUUUGUUUGACAAAACAUUGUUCUUUAUUAAUCAAUGAUUGGAUUAUAGUAAUCUAAUUGAUUGUCUCUAUAGUAGAGAUGAUAUGGUAGUAUUAACUGUUUAGAAUAUAAUGAUGCUUAAAACCCAAAAGGUUGCAAGGUAGUGACUAAUCCCAACUGAGUUGUGAUACCUCUAAAACAUAAAUUACGAGUUGGUCAUUGAUGGAUGCUUUGGAUCGUUAGAUCCAGAUCCAAUACCUUCUUGUUAAAAUUGUAUAGAGGCGAAAUGUUCGAAUCUUUAUUCUUUUGGAAAGAAGAAAGAAUCACAAAGUUGUUGAGGUUAAUUCACUUAGAUGUUAGUGGCACUUGUCCACAAACAUAAUACUACUCAUGUUGUAUGACAUUCACCGAAGAUCACUCUCGGUUGGACUAUAGUUUAUUUUGAAUAAACACAAGUCUGAAUACUUUGCAAAAUGUUUCAAAGAAUUCAAGUAAUGUAAGUUGAUGAGUAAGACGUCUAAAGUAUUUACCUCCUUAGAUUUGAUCCAAGAUAAGGUAACACUUUAGAACAGUUUCCUUGAAAGAUAUCAAGGAAAUAAGCAUCAUAAGAUAAUAGAUUUCUCCAUAAGGAGAAGAACGAACUUAAAUAAGAUUUAGUUCGUUGGAUAUUAUCAAUUACCCAUAUAUAGGAUAUAUACUUCUAAGACAAUAUGAUUGUCAAUUAGAAGAUCUUCCAAAAUUUUCAUGACUCCAUAAGAUGUAGUUGGAAGGAAAGACAAAACUUAAUCAUGUUAAGAUUUGGGGUUGUGAGCCAAUCAGCAAUAUUUGUUUGAUAACAAUCUUGUGGGAUAUCCUUAAAUUAACUUUUGGAUAUCGCUUCUAUAAACCAAUUGACAAAUGUUGUUUGUUGGGUAGUUCAUUGUAAUCCUACAAUGUGAUUUGCCUAAAAGCAAAUGAACGAGAGAUAGAACUCAAAGAAUAGGUUCUUUGAGAGACAAGAAAGUAAUCAACAAAUAUAAACAACCUAGUUCCUAUACCAAAAGCUCCAAGGUAGUCGAGAAGGAUUUAUAAACCGUCUCAGUUGAAUGGUUUGAACUUUAUGACUAUGUCAUAGAGUUGCACCUCUUAAUUCAAAAGAAAUAAGAAUGAAAAUCCUUAUGACUACAUUGAGUGUAUAUAUAUGAUAUAUACUCAAGGAAAUGGUAAAGUACCAUUUGACCCGAAAUAAUGAAACCUUCAUAAGCUAAUUGGUAGCUUAAGGUGACUACAAUCAAAGAGAAUGGUUGACUUUGAAGAAACCAUCUUUGAGAUAGUCUUGGUUUCAAUUAAUUCGAAGAUAGCUAGCUACAACUAAAUGGUGACUCAAUGUUUGGACAUAAUAUGAGUUUCCGAAACCAUUAUUAAGAUGGUCUUAAUAAUAUAUGUCUAAAACUAUGAAUCACAAGACAUGUAAGUUGUAGAGAUCCAUCCAUCAUGAAUCUAAGCAAGCUAGUGGGAGAUAUGAGCAUCUUAUGAGAAAAGGAUCAAAUCGUUUGAUUUCUCAUAAAGAUGUAAAUGAAUCUUUUGUUUACUAGGUUUACAAAAGAUUAGUGGGAGUUAAUCGUGUUCCUAAAAUUUAAAUAUAUAUGAUAUAUUAAUUUUGGAAAUGAAAAGAAUACUUCUUCGUUAAAGUUAUGACUUUAAAACAUUAUAUGAAAAUAGAAUGUAUAUGGGAGAUAUAGUCUAUAUACAUGGGAUGGAAAUCUAUAAUGAUAUAUUUCAUGA